GGAAGGGUCGCAUAGUUGGUCUAGUGCGCAGUCCUGGAAAGACUGUAGGGCUAAAAACCCUCGCGGGUUCGAAUCCCGCCCCUUCCG
Candidatus Roizmanbacteria bacterium is the source of this 87-nucleotide non-coding RNA. The record is from Rfam. NCBI's taxonomy places the organism in Bacteria, Candidatus Roizmaniibacteriota.